Osmerus eperlanus (European smelt) is the source of this 300-nucleotide long non-coding RNA. RefSeq lists it as uncharacterized. The record is from RefSeq and is a predicted model, not a curated record. The transcript is spliced from 3 exons. NCBI's taxonomy places the organism in Eukaryota, Metazoa, Chordata, Actinopteri, Osmeriformes, Osmeridae.
CAACAUUUAUAUUUCAAAGCGAAACGUUUCUUCCAUGGAGGAGAAAAGAUAUUAUGGCUAAUCGAGAAAGAAAUUCCACAAGGAGGAGACGGGUCCGUCCUCAACAGGAAGCUGAAUACCAUGUGCGAUUGAAGGCUGACAAGUUUGGACUUCGAGGGGAAUUUAUUAAUCCCUUCAAAGAUGUAGUAGAUCACUCAAGUGAAGUGUCAAGUGAUGAGGACUGCACUGAUGUACCAGACAUGGAGACAACUUUGACUUUAGCACCAGCACCAUAAGCACCUGCUCCCAUUUCUCUCAAAC